RNAcentral lists this small RNA (541 nucleotides) under Pan troglodytes (chimpanzee). Its description in RNAcentral is "processed transcript". The record is from RNAcentral. Lineage: Eukaryota; Metazoa; Chordata; Mammalia; Primates; Hominidae.
AUUUUGAAUUGGUCAGCGUCCCCCUCAAAAAUCGUGUAUGUUCUACCAUUUAAGAAGUCCCAUGUCUUUUCUCAGUCAGUUAUUGCUUCUGUGGAAACUGUUAUUGUCAUGGCAGCUCCUUUCUUCUUGAAACUGUCUCCCACCUGAACUGUUCUGUUACUGUUCACCUCUUUGAUACCUCCUCUCUUUCUCUUUUAAUUCUUACCAUCAGAAUCUUGGUGUGACAUCAAUAUCCAUAUUUCCAGCUCUGGCCACUGUUCUGAGUGUCAGACUCACAUUUCCAAGAGACAAGGAGAAGGCCUUAGGAUCUACUGGGGGAGUCCGGAGGAGCAGUCUCUUCUGUCCCGCUGGAACCCAUGGUCCACUGAAGUUCCUUAUGCUACUUUCACUGAGCAUCCUAUGAAAUACACCAGUGAGAAAUUCCUUGAAAUUUGCAAGUAUGCAGAGAGUACUGCUGGGAAGGAUGAGUACUGAACCCAGAACUGAUGAAUAGCAGUGAACGCAUUAUGAGUGCCCUGCAACCAUCAUGAUCUACAGACCA